GAACAAUUACCUUGCAACACCAUUUAUAGUCUUUAAGUAGAUGCAUUAUUAUUAUUCUUCAAGAGAAAAGACUAUUAUAUUUGGAUAACAGUAUUCUCACAAUUGAGCCAACAUAUAUAUGAAAGGAUAACUUUAAAAAAUGCUUGUCGUGCACAAACUGUAAAUGAAGCUAUAAUCCUUGACUGACAAUUUGAUCUAAGCACUCUUCAACUCAUGCUCUUUUUGAAACCAAACAUUCACCAAAAAAGAGUCGAAGAUGAUCUGGUUCAGAUGUGCCGCUAUGCAUGGAAGAACCAAUAAACCAGAUUCACCAAGAGCACCACCAAGCUGUUCUACUACUGCUACCAUUACAGGCAGAGUUUUCUGGCUUGCAACAAGUAAAACAGCACUAAUAUUUUGCUUCUUUGAAAAAGAUGAUUCACUACCCCCUGAAAUAGUGGAGAGUAAUGAUAUUGCCAGAGCAUUGAAAGCAAAGAGGCUGAGAUGUAGAAGCACUCCUAACACAACAGCCAGAAGAAAUACCGCUGGCUUAACCAAUAAAAGCAACGACCUCGAUCUGCUCACUUGUAUAAAAGGGGCUAGACUGAGGAGGAGAGCACUCAUCAUUGAUAAAAGCUUACGAUUUCGAUCAGAAAACUCAGCCACACCCUUGAAACAUUCUCGUAAAGCCUUCCCUAUGAUAAGAGGAACUAGAAGUGUGAGAACAAGGCUUCUGAACAACUGCUCGGCUGGAACAGACACACCAACACCAGAAGCUAUGAGCUUGGAGAUCGAAAAAGGUACAAUCAGAAUGCCUAGAAGGUUUGAUAUUAAAGUCAUCACAAGCGCAAGAGCAGAGUUUCCUCCUGCUAAACGAGUUAGUGCCACUCCACUAGAUAAUGUUGUGGGCAUACAGCUAAAUAUGGCCAAUCCUGUGACAAAUUCUUGAGGUUGAAGCUUUAGCAGCAAAAUAAUCUUGGAUAAAAGAGGAGUGAAGAACAAAAUAGAAACAAGACCAAAUAGCCCAACAGGCCAAGCUUCAGCAGCAGCACCUACUUCAUCACUACGCAAUGUAAUCCCUGAAAUUAUAAAUAUGCCGAAGGUGCUAAUUUUG
RNAcentral lists this unclassified non-coding RNA (1093 nucleotides) under Hevea brasiliensis (rubber tree). Lineage: Eukaryota; Viridiplantae; Streptophyta; Magnoliopsida; Malpighiales; Euphorbiaceae. The record is from RNAcentral.